GAUGAACGCUGGCGGCGUGCCUAAUACAUGCAAGUAGAACGCUGAAGCUUGGUGCUUGCACCGAGCGGAUGAGUUGCGAACGGGUGAGUAACGCGUAGGUAACCUGCCUGGUAGCGGGGGAUAACUAUUGGAAACGAUAGCUAAUACCGCAUAACAGUCGACAUUGCAUGAUGUUGAUUUGAAAGGGGCAAAUGCUCCACUACCAGAUGGACCUGCGUUGUAUUAGCUAGUUGGUGAGGUAACGGCUCACCAAGGCGACGAUACAUAGCCGACCUGAGAGGGUGAUCGGCCACACUGGGACUGAGACACGGCCCAGACUCCUACGGGAGGCAGCAGUAGGGAAUCUUCGGCAAUGGGGGCAACCCUGACCGAGCAACGCCGCGUGAGUGAAGAAGGUUUUCGGAUCGUAAAGCUCUGUUGUAAGAGAAGAACGAGUGUGAGAGUGGAAAGUUCACACUGUGACGGUAACUUACCAGAAAGGGACGGCUAACUACGUGCCAGCAGCCGCGGUAAUACGUAGGUCCCGAGCGUUAUCCGGAUUUAUUGGGCGUAAAGCGAGCGCAGGCGGUUAGAUAAGUCUGAAGUUAAAGGCUGUGGCUUAACCAUAGUACGCUUUGGAAACUGUUUAACUUGAGUGCAGAAGGGGAGAGUGGAAUUCCAUGUGUAGCGGUGAAAUGCGUAGAUAUAUGGAGGAACACCGGUGGCGAAAGCAGCUCUCUGGUUUGUAACUGACGCUGAGGCUCGAAAGCGUGGGGAGCAAACAGG
This 765-nucleotide ribosomal RNA is filed under the name uncultured Streptococcus sp. Its description in RNAcentral is "bacterial SSU rRNA". It matches the Rfam family "Bacterial small subunit ribosomal RNA", at positions 28 to 776 of the family's 1533-position model. Lineage: Bacteria; Bacillati; Bacillota; Bacilli; Lactobacillales; Streptococcaceae. The record is from RNAcentral.